ACAAAAUGAACAAAGACCUAUUUCCUAGUUCCUCUUCUAUUAGGUCAACAGUUAUUUCACUUUUUUUUUUUUUUUUUAAGAUUUAUUUUUGGUAGACAAUUUAUGUAAAAUAGUGGAGUGUGUGAUAGCGAUUGGGAUUAAGUUCUUAGGUACACUUUACAUCUUAAAUUUCUUGACUUCAGUAUUUUGCAUACAGUCUAGGUCAUUAAUUCCUUUAGCUGGCUAGGAAACUGGAAAGCAGAGCCUUUAAUGUACUAAACUUCAUUGAACUUUCAAGAUUGACCUCUCUUAAGGUUGCUUCUUAGUCUUGUGGGGAAUAGAAAGAUGAAGAACUCUGGAUCAUCUCAAUUUCCAUUUGUGAAAAAGCGUUCAGAAUUUCAAACUGCAGCCACCCCUAUUAGGCUGAAGCCUACUGGAUUCCUUAUUGGUCAAAAUUGGAAUGUCAGCAUUUCAGAUAGUUCAACUUAAUAACUCCCGGUUCCCUCAUCUUUGCCAUUGCCAUUUGUAGAUUGUGGCUAAUGUAUGGGAAUUUCUUGCAAAAGGUGGGAUGCCAACCUCUUAACAUUUAGUGCUUAGUCCAAAAGUCGUGGGAGAUAGUUUCAGGUAUUAUAACCUCCAUAUUUAUAAACAAGAAAUCCGAGGUAAAGGGGAUGGGUUAUACAGUGCCAGCCCUAAAACCUAUGUAAACAUGAUUGAAUAACUGGACAUAGGAUUCUUAGAUGCAUAGUUUGAAACCCCAUGGAAGAAGUAUUGUAUGCCUAUUUAAGACAUUACUGAUGAGCCAACUCAUAUAAAUCCUAGUUUCUGAACCAUCUUCACCUCCAAAUAAAUCUCUUUCUAACCUCUCUCACCCAAUCACUCAUGAAUUUUCCUACCUCUGGAUCUCUCCCAUCGAUGGCCAUCCUCACCAUUCUGUACCUAGCCCACACCAAUUACCCAUACAUCUCAUUGCCUCCGUGUCUUCUCCAACACAUUAGAAGCAUCUUGAGUGCCUAUGACGUUUCACACUGCUAAUCAUUGGAGACAGGAAGAUAAGACACCCUGUGUGUGGUGGUUUUGAAAUAUUUGUGCGUCACCUUCCUUGAAAGCAGAUCCCUGAGCUGCAGUCAAGUCCUUAGGUGACUACAGCCCCAGCUGACCUCUUGGCCUGCAACCUCAGGAAGGAUCCUGAGACAGAACUGCUGAUCGGAGUGUGUUUGGCAAUGGAAGAAACAUGCAAGAAAGAGAAGGAACUACUGAAAAUACUAGAAAUGUGGAAGAUCACUGAUGAAUCCAGGGAGGAUACUAAAGACUUGCCCUUCAUGGUUACAUAGAAGCUACAAGAGCUCCUGGUCAUUUCCUUUAUAAAACAAGGCUCAACAUUGACAAAGAAGGAGAAGGGGCAUUUUGAAGAGUAAAACAUUUGCAGAAACCCCAGGCUUCCUUUAUGCCUUAUUGUCAGAAUUGCCUCCUUUAUGCCUUAUUGAGAGAAUUGCCUCAUGUGCCCAUUCCUAAACCAGCCAUUGACAAGCUGAGUGGAACUGACCUCACUAAACUGACUUCAUGAGGAAGGCAUCUUUGCCGGAACUCGGGUGAUGUUGAGUUUCCUUUGAAGAUUCUGGCUACCCCUACCUGUACAAAAUUAAAAUUCCAGUGGCAAGAAAAAAGAGAAGAAUUGCUGCAGAGCAGGCACCCAGUAUCUGCACAGUGAUUUUUUUCCAGAGCCUUUUCACUCAUAUUUUUGCACACAACAAGCCUUGCUUUCUGGCUUCUGUAUGCUAGGCACAUGGACCUUGUUAGAAUGUCUGGUUGAAGGACUUCCAACUUGACAAAGUGGGUUGUUUGUCUUCUGACAGUCCAGUGUAUUAUCUCAGCCUCAACAGCACCAUUCACUAAAGGCAGAGACUACAGUGCCAAAUCUUGCCUCCAAUAUCACAGCAGAUUAGAGGAAUCUUUGGUGUGGCGGGCAGGAUGGUGGGAUCAGUCGGCACAAAGGGGAUGUGUGGUCUGUAAAGAAUUUUAAAACAGUGAUAAACCUCUAAAUGCAGUCUGGAAUCCUGGAUUGAGCCCUGGAACAGAAAAAUAACAGUAGAAACACUGCUGAAAUCAAA
Condylura cristata (star-nosed mole) is the source of this 2090-nucleotide long non-coding RNA. RefSeq lists it as uncharacterized. The record is from RefSeq and is a predicted model, not a curated record. NCBI's taxonomy places the organism in Eukaryota, Metazoa, Chordata, Mammalia, Eulipotyphla, Talpidae. The transcript has 3 exons.